UUAACAUCGGAAGCCAACUUUAACGUGCAUUGGGAAUAUAUUCACAUCUGACUUUAGCCACGAAGUAGGUAUGCUGGAUCCACUGAAUACGACAGCGUUCAAUGUUUCCUCUGGUGAGCAGGAGAUCGAGAAUUGUUUCAUGACAUACAUCGUUCGUAAGCCAUCGACACCGUAUAUUAUAAACAGCAUAUUUAGUUGCAUCGUAAACGCCAUCUUAGCAAUUCUAGGGACAUUUCUGAAUGCUCUGGUCGUGGCCGUUUUCUGGAAGACACCGAAAUUACGAAACAAGGUGACCUAUUUUAUGAUAAUGCUCUUAUCUUGUAUUGACAUGUGUGUGACAAUAAUCG
Molecule: non-coding RNA, 347 nt
Organism: Paramuricea clavata
Lineage: Eukaryota; Metazoa; Cnidaria; Anthozoa; Malacalcyonacea; Plexauridae
Source: the annotation of a GenBank genome assembly